AUAAACUUUUAAUCUUCAAGGAUUGUGCCUUAAGCACCCAUUGCCAGGCAAAGAUGCUCACUAAAAGUUAUUUAUAAAAUAACUUUUUGGUUUAAAAUCCCAUACUCUAAGAGGGAAGGACAACAUACAUAAAACUUCCAUAGUGGUGCAGGGAGUAGGAGAGUAAAACUUAAAUGGAACUCAGAAAGAAGUAAAGGGAUAGAAUAAGCAGUAGAUCUCAAACCAGGACCUCCACAGGAUCUUACAUUUUCAUUUUGAAACUGAUGGUCUAUGUCUAGUGACUGGAAAGUCACAGAGAUGUAGGCAUACCAUCAUAGUGAGCUAGGGGAGGAAACUGAAGGGAAAAUCAAUUUCUAAACUGAAAACAAAUCGGACUUCAACUAGGACUUUCAGGCUUCUGCUAAACUUUGCUCUCGGAGUGUUUCAAUGCUUUCUCUUUCUGUUGGCAGAGGAGGGCUGCAGGACAGGAGGACUGGGCUGGGCUACAGCCUGUUCUUCAUCCUGAGUGAAUGAAGUCUUAUUAUAUUCUCCAGCAAAGGCUGCACUACUUGUUGUGAGGCUUAUGGGUAAAGUUGCCAGAGAGCAAUCCAGUUAUCAGCCUCAGCCCUAGUCCUCUCAUGUACAGUUCUCGAAGCAAACCCUCGAACCUAGUUGGCUCUAGAAGGAGAAGACGCGGAGAGAAGCAGCCCACAAGCGAAGCCUGCAGCACGCCUUGCACUGAAUCCCCUACGGGUUCGGUGAGGACACAGGCCCUGACGCCAGGCACUUGCCUUGACGGCGAGGGGGUAACAUCUGGAGUCUCGGAGCACCGAUCCAGCCUGAGGUGGCUGCCUUUUGGAGUCUCGGGGAUCCAUGGCCACUUAUCCAUGCCUACUUGAAGGCCAGAGGCGGACGGCCGGAGCCGGACCUCAAGUUUCAGCCAGCCGCUCGGGAGCGCUCCGGGUGGCGCCUCCAGGCCUCGCUGCUGGGGGCGGGGCUCGCGCUGUGACACCGCCCCCCGCCUCGCCCCGCCCCGCGCGCGUUGCCAGGGUGAUCAGGUGACUCCGCACUCGCGGCUCUCGGGGAGGUCGUGACGUCAGGCGAGCCCAGUCUCCUCACUCGCUCCUUGGCAGGUGCGGCGCCACUUGUGCGGUCUCGUCAGGUUCCAGCGGGUCCCGGCCGAACCAGUGCUCAGCGGGUUCGUAAAGAGGAGAGUGUACGUGGUGGAAGACCAAAGAAGGGAUGACCUGGGCACAUCCACCUGCCUCACAGCCUGCUGGACGGCCCUCUGUUGCUGCUGUCUCUGGGACAUGCUCACCUGACCAGCCCGGCUCUCCUGUCCUGCCAGCUC
RNA transcript from Dama dama (fallow deer), 1330 nucleotides. It is a transcript of the gene named cysteine rich transmembrane module containing 1, with no coding region annotated. The record is from RefSeq and is a predicted model, not a curated record. Lineage: Eukaryota; Metazoa; Chordata; Mammalia; Artiodactyla; Cervidae. The transcript has 2 exons.